GACGAACCGUGCGAACGUUGUUCGGAAUCACUGGGCUUAAAGGGCGCGUAGGCGGGCCGGCAAGUCGGGGGUGAAAUCCUCCAGCUCAACUGGAGAACUGCUUCCGAUACUGCCGGUCUCGAGUGGGGUAGGGGCGUGCGGAACGACGGGUGGAGCGGUGAAAUGCGUUGAUAUCGGAAGGAACGCCGGCGGCGAAAGCGGCUUGCUGGACCCCCCCUUACGCUGAGGCGCGAAAGCCAGGGGAGCGAACGGG
RNAcentral lists this ribosomal RNA (253 nucleotides) under uncultured bacterium. RNAcentral describes it as "partial 16S ribosomal RNA". It matches the Rfam family "Bacterial small subunit ribosomal RNA", at positions 524 to 776 of the family's 1533-position model. The record is from RNAcentral.